GGGUUUGAUCCUGGCUCAGGAUGAACGCUAGCGGCAGGCUUAACACAUGCAAGUCGAACGGUAAGGCCCUGCUUGCAGGGUACACGAGUGGCGCACGGGUGCGUAACGCGUAUGCAACCUACCUCUAACAGGGAGAUAGCCCAGAGAAAUUUGGAUUAAUAUCCCAUAAUAUUAAGAUACCACAUGGUAUUUUACUUAAAGCUCCGGCGGUUAGAGAUGGGCAUGCGUGACAUUAGCUAGUUGGUAAGGUAACGGCUUACCAAGGCUACGAUGUCUAGGGGAUCUGAGAGGAUGGUCCCCCACACUGGUACUGAGACACGGACCAGACUCCUACGGGAGGCAGCAGUGAGGAAUAUUGGUCAAUGGACGCAAGUCUGAACCAGCCAUGCCGCGUGCAGGAUGACGGCCCUAUGGGUUGUAAACUGCUUUUCUGCACCAAGAAAUACCCCGACGUGUUGGGGCUUGACGGUAGUGUAGGAAUAAGCACCGGCUAACUCCGUGCCAGCAGCCGCGGUAAUACGGAGGGUGCAAGCGUUAUCCGGAUUUAUUGGGUUUAAAGGGUUCGCAGGCGGCGUAUUAAGUCAGUGGUGAAAUCUCACAGCUCAACUGUGAAACUGCCAUUGAUACUGAAAUUCUUGAGUAUAGUUGAGGUAGGCGGAAUGUGUAAUGUAGCGGUGAAAUGCUUAGAUAUUACACAGAACACCGAUUGCGAAGGCAGCUUACUAAGCUAUUACUGACGCUGAUGCACGAAAGCGUGGGGAGCGAACAGGAUUAGAUACCCUGGUAGUCCACGCCGUAAACGAUGAUAACUCGAUGUUGGCAAUACACCGUCAGCGUCCAAGCGAAAGCGUUAAGUUAUCCACCUGGGGAGUACGAUCGCAAGAUUGAAACUCAAAGGAAUUGACGGGGGCCCGCACAAGCGGAGGAGCAUGUGGUUUAAUUCGAUGAUACGCGAGGAACCUUACCUGGGCUCAAAUGUAGAAUGACAGUCCCCGAAAGGGGAUCUUUCUUCGGAACAAUUUACAAGGUGCUGCAUGGUUGUCGUCAGCUCGUGCCGUGAGGUGUCGGGUUAAGUCCCAUAACGAGCGCAACCCCUAUCUUUAGUUGCCAUCAGAUAAUGCUGGGGACUCUAAAGAAACUGCCUACGCAAGUAGUGAGGAAGGUGGGGAUGACGUCAAAUCAGCACGGCCCUUAUGUCCAGGGCUACACACGUGCUACAAUGGCCAGUACAGAGGGUCGCUACCUGGUGACAGGAUGCUAAUCUCGAAAGCUGGUCUCAGUUCGGAUUGGAGUCUGCAACUCGACUCCAUGAAGCUGGAAUCGCUAGUAAUCGCACAUCAGCCAUGGCGCGGUGAAUACGUUCCCGGGCCUUGUACACACCGCCCGUCAAGGCAUGGAAGUUGGGGGUACCUAAAGUCCGUAACCGCAAGGAGCGGCCUAGGGUAAAACCAGUGACUGGGGCUAAGUCGUAACAAGGUAACCGU
This 1484-nucleotide ribosomal RNA is filed under the name uncultured prokaryote. RNAcentral's name for it is "partial 16S ribosomal RNA". It matches the Rfam family "Bacterial small subunit ribosomal RNA". The record is from RNAcentral.